Molecule: ribosomal RNA, 253 nt
Filed under: uncultured bacterium
Lineage: Bacteria
Description: partial 16S ribosomal RNA
Rfam family: Bacterial small subunit ribosomal RNA
Source: RNAcentral
UACGUAGGGUGCAAGCGUUGUCUGGAAUUAUUGGGCGUAAAGAGUUCGUAGGCGGUUUGUCACGUCGGAUGUGAAAACCCGGGGCUUAACCCAGAGCCUGCAUCCAAAACUAGCGAGCUAGAGUUCUGGAGGGGAUAGCGGAAUUCCUGGUGUAGCGGUGAAAUGCGUAGAUAUCAGGAGGAACACCGGUGGCGAAGGCGGUUAUCUGGACAGAAACUGACGCUGAGGCGCGAAAGCUAGGGGAGCAAACAGG